RNAcentral lists this ribosomal RNA (254 nucleotides) under uncultured bacterium. RNAcentral's name for it is "partial 16S ribosomal RNA". It matches the Rfam family "Bacterial small subunit ribosomal RNA", at positions 524 to 776 of the family's 1533-position model. The record is from RNAcentral.
CACGUAGGGUGCGAGCGUUGUCCGGAAUUAUUGGGCGUAAAGAGCUCGUAGGCGGUGUGUCGCGUCGGCCGUGAAAACCUGCAGCUUAACUGUGGGCGUGCGGUCGAUACGGGCAUCACUGGAGUUCGGCAGGGGAGACUGGAAUUCCUGGUGUAGCGGUGAAAUGCGCAGAUAUCAGGAGGAACACCGGUGGCGAAGGCGGGUCUCUGGGCCGAUACUGACGCUUAGGAGCGAAAGCGUGGGGAGCGAACAGG